This 523-nucleotide long non-coding RNA is filed under the name Triticum aestivum (bread wheat). RNAcentral's name for it is "long non-coding RNA (TAES_LNC026069)". Lineage: Eukaryota; Viridiplantae; Streptophyta; Magnoliopsida; Poales; Poaceae. The record is from RNAcentral.
GCUUGGCCGUGCUGAAGACGAAGAGCAUUCCAGUGACUUUGAGCCAGAAGAAAAUGGUGAUGGUGCUGAGGACGAGGAGAUUGAGGAUGAUGAUGCUGAGGAUGGUGAGGAUUCUGUCAAGGCGCAAUCCUCUUCGAAGAGGAAGAGGUCUGGCGCGGAGGAUGAAGAUGAUGAUGACGGUGAUGAUGAUGGUGAUGAUGAUGAGAAGCCUCCAUCAAAGCGAUAGUCAAUUUGUUCUUGCUGAUCUGGUAUCUUUUCUGCUUGGGCCAAGAAGGAAAAUAAUCCUCACGGAGAGGGUUGUUGGUAAAUGCUGUAGCUUUAGGACAUCUGUGGUAGGUGUAGCAGCUCGAACUUGAGUCUACCCAUGUUAGUUGUUAGUGCAUACUGCUGAUGUUGAUUAACAGCCUCGGGGAACUUCUGUAUGAGCAUUAGAUAUGGGGCUUGUUAUAUGCUUGUGUAGCUUCUGAUUAAAACCUGUGGAAUGUGGAUGCUCUGUUCUGAAUCUUGUUUUCAUGAUAUUUCU